Molecule: non-coding RNA, 121 nt
Organism: Picea glauca (white spruce)
Lineage: Eukaryota; Viridiplantae; Streptophyta; Pinopsida; Pinales; Pinaceae
Source: Rfam
ACAUGCAUACAUCAUAGCAUUAAUGCACCAUAUCCCACUAGAAAUCUACAGUUAAGCGCACUCGGGAUAGAGUAGUAUUGGGAUGGGUGAUCUCCCGUGAAGUCCUAGUGUUUUACAUGCC